Molecule: ribosomal RNA, 724 nt
Filed under: Microbacterium sp. 154(2010)
Lineage: Bacteria; Bacillati; Actinomycetota; Actinomycetes; Micrococcales; Microbacteriaceae
Description: bacterial SSU rRNA
Rfam family: Bacterial small subunit ribosomal RNA
Source: RNAcentral
GGCGUGCUUAACACAUGCAAGUCGAACGAUGAACCAGGAGCUUGCUCUUGGGGAUUAGUGGCGAACGGGUGAGUAACACGUGAGUAACCUGCCCUUGACUCUGGGAUAAGCGUUGGAAACGACGUCUAAUACCGGAUACGAGCUUCCACCGCAUGGUGAGUUGCUGGAAAGAAUUUUGGUCAAGGAUGGACUCGCGGCCUAUCAGCUUGUUGGUGAGGUAACGGCUCACCAAGGCGACGACGGGUAGCCGGCCUGAGAGGGUGACCGGCCACACUGGGACUGAGACACGGCCCAGACUCCUACGGGAGGCAGCAGUGGGGAAUAUUGCACAAUGGGCGAAAGCCUGAUGCAGCAACGCCGCGUGAGGGACGACGGCCUUCGGGUUGUAAACCUCUUUUAGCAGGGAAGAAGCGAAAGUGACGGUACCUGCAGAAAAAGCACCGGCUAACUACGUGCCAGCAGCCGCGGUAAUACGUAGGGUGCAAGCGUUGUCCGGAAUUAUUGGGCGUAAAGAGCUCGUAGGCGGUUUGUCGCGUCUGCUGUGAAAUCCCGAGGCUCAACCUCGGGUCUGCAGUGGGUACGGGCAGACUAGAGUGCGGUAGGGGAGAUUGGAAUUCCUGGUGUAGCGGUGGAAUGCGCAGAUAUCAGGAGGAACACCGAUGGCGAAGGCAGAUCUCUGGGCCGCUACUGACGCUGAGGAGCGAAAGGGUGGGGAGCAAACAGG